AUGGCUGAAGAGUUCAAUUGGAUUGUGACUCUGGUGAGGAGUCCCACUGAGAUUAGAACUCUGGAGGAGAGUCCCACUGGACUGAGACUCUACUAUUAAUAAAAAAUUAAUUAGUAAUUAAAUUAACUCAAUAUGAUUGAGUAAAGAGCUUUGGAUCAAGUCUAAUUGAAUUAGAUUCAGUUUGAUUUAGAUUGGGUUUGAUUUGAUAAGCCUGAUUGCAAGAGAAAUUUGAUCCUGAUUCGAUCAAGACUUGGGCUUAGCUAAUUCCUAAUUGGGUUACAAAUUUAUUGAGAUAAUUAGGCUCCUAAUUAGAUUAGGUUCAUUUCUAUCAUUGGGUUCAAAUUAGAUUUGAUUUGCUUUAGAAUUAAUUUGAAAAUGAAGAGUCCAAGCCAAUAGGGACUCUAUCUCUUUAUCCUUGCGCCACCCUGGACCCAUCCACUGGAUCUCAAUGCCCAAUUGGAUUUGGCUUGAGAUUUUUGACAUGAUGAGAGUGGGCCCAGUAAGGGUGGGCAGCAAAGCAUGAUGAGUCAUGAUCUCAUCUCCUGCCUAAUUCGAAUGCGAUCCGAAUUAGAGAUAAGAAGAUAAGAAGGAAAG
RNAcentral lists this long non-coding RNA (594 nucleotides) under Elaeis guineensis (African oil palm). RNAcentral describes it as "long non-coding RNA (EGUI_LNC043422)". Lineage: Eukaryota; Viridiplantae; Streptophyta; Magnoliopsida; Arecales; Arecaceae. The record is from RNAcentral.